AGAUUUUUUGAAAUAUUCUCCCGAUAUCUCCGCGACGUCGCCGAUUCCACUUCCUUCUUCAUCAAAAGUUGAUUAAAACUCAAAUUCGACAAUCUGGAAGCAUUAUCUCGUUGUUCUCCUCAUUCAUCUUUUUCUAGAAUCCAAUCGCAGGUGAUUUUAAACCCUUUUUCUUCUGUUUAUUUUUUUUUUUUUGCAAUCUCCGAUUUUCAUUAUACUUCGACUUCGACGAUUCAGUUUUGGAUUUUGUGUCUCAAUUAGUUUAUGAGUUAGUGUUGUUUUUUGCCUGUUUUCUGUUUUUGAUUGUGAUUGGGAUUUCGGGUUGAAGUAUUCUCUUUUCUGGGUUCAUGACUUCAUGUAUUCUGUUUGUUUUGCUAGGUCGGUGUGUGUGAAAUUUAGAUUAGAGGUUGGAAAUUCAUUGUUAUUACGAAUUUGUUUGGUUUUCUUUGAGACCCACUUUAUUGCGAGGUCGCCGAGGUGUGUAUGUUAGUGGGUUGUUUUCAAGGAAUUGCUCUCCGCCUCUCUUAAAAUGCUGUAUUUUAUUCAGUUUGACUUUGAAUAGCUUCCCAUUUUGGUUCGUAUGAGGAGUAAUAUAUACAAUUCUGGAUCUGUUAAAGCCUUAUACUUGUUAAAUUUAUGAAAAACGGAGUAUUGAUGUAUGUGAGAGUAUCUGGCACACUUAAUAAAAUUCUGAUAUGAUAUAAAAUGAUUUUUAAUAUCCACUAUAAUUUUUAUACAAGCAUGAACGUGAAAACUAAAAGUUGUGUGAUUGAUUUCAAAACGUUAUAAUAAUGUCUAGAGUUGUGUAAGUGCAUCAAGAAUCAUUAUAAUAAUGUCUUGUCUUGUUUCAAAUUUAACAUAGAUUAUUGUGUCUUUGUCUUUGAUGCCGUGUUUUAGAGAAUUGACUCUGUGUGAUAUAUUGAUAUUUGCUGAUGAUUUUCGAUUUGUUCAUCUUUGUUGAAUUGUUGUUUUGUUUGCUUGUUUUCCAUCACUUUGCAGAUGGAUUCUUCAUCACCACCUCACUUGAAUGACAAUGACGACCUGGAAGAUGAAGUUGCAGAUGAUAUUGGGAGUGCUCCUGCAAGUGGAAACAAGAGGAAGAGGAAAGAAGUUCCUACAUCUACUUCACCGAAGGCUAAGUCUAAGCCAAAGGAAAAGGCUAAGAAGAAAGUGUUUAGCACAAGAUCACCUGUAUGGGAGCACUUCACAAGAACAAAAGAGGAUGCAUAUGUAUGCUUGUGUAACUACUGUGGUAAAAGCUUUGCUUGUGCGAGUACUAAUGGGACAACUAGCUUGAAUAAACAUCUCACAAUCUGCAAGGAACAUCUAGCUUGGGUGGAAAUUAAAAAAGAGAGUCAGAAUGUUUGUGUUCGUUUUUUACGUUUGGCAUUUGAAUUUGUUUGGAUUUGUUGGUUAUUUUUGGUUUAAUUCGGUUUAGGAUUUAAUUAUUCAUGAAUUUUUCGGUUAUCUCGGUUUAUUCGGGUUUUUCGGGUCUAAAACCGAACCGAAUCAAUUGGAAUUUUUUUUUGGUUCUGUAUCGGGUUUUGAUUUAAUCUCUAAACCCGACCCGAACCCGAGAAGACCCGAACCGAACCGAACCGAAAAAUUUUCGGUUCCAAAACGGGUUUAAUCAGAUCAAUAUUUCGGGACCCGAAAACCGUGGACCCGAUCCGAACCCGACCCGCGGACCCGUAUGCCUAGGCCUUGUGUAGCGUCGUUAUGGAUCACUGAUAAUGCCUUAACUGAUGUGCAGAUCAUGCCGAUAAGCUACAGUGAGCCUUCCUCUGAUGAUGAACCCAUUGAAGACUUGCGUUGGGCCUAC
RNAcentral lists this long non-coding RNA (1819 nucleotides) under Eutrema salsugineum. RNAcentral describes it as "long non-coding RNA (ESAL_LNC001795)". The record is from RNAcentral. Lineage: Eukaryota; Viridiplantae; Streptophyta; Magnoliopsida; Brassicales; Brassicaceae.